GUGAAAAAUAGUCAUAUUGGGGACUAGAGUGGCUCUGUGAUUCAAGGAUCAUGGAUACCACUCCGCGAGACUAAAGGGAGUGAAGGUGAGCUUGCCCCAACAGAGCAUGGCUUGAGGUGUGC
Molecule: ribosomal RNA, 122 nt
Filed under: Artemia franciscana
Lineage: Eukaryota; Metazoa; Arthropoda; Branchiopoda; Anostraca; Artemiidae
Description: partial 5.8S ribosomal RNA
Source: RNAcentral